CCCUUAGAUGUUCUGGGCCGCACGCGCGCUACAAUGGUCUUCGCAAACGGAUGCAUUCUCGAAGGAGAAUGCCAAUCUUGGAAUCUAUGCCUUGGUCGGGUCAGUUGCUUGCAAUUUUUCGACUCGAACCAGGAAUUCCUUGUAAUCGUGAUUCAUCACAUCACGAUGAAUACGUCCCUGCCCUUUGUACACACCGCCCGUCGCUCCUACCGAUCGAAGAGUUAGGUGAAUUGUUUUGAUCGAUAAGAUUUGACUAUGGUCAACUCUCGUUGUGAAAUUCUGUGAAUCUGACUGUUUAGAGGAAGGAAAAGUCGUAACA
RNAcentral lists this ribosomal RNA (319 nucleotides) under uncultured eukaryote. RNAcentral describes it as "partial 18S ribosomal RNA". It matches the Rfam family "Eukaryotic small subunit ribosomal RNA", at positions 1470 to 1796 of the family's 1831-position model. The record is from RNAcentral.